This 253-nucleotide ribosomal RNA is filed under the name uncultured bacterium. Its description in RNAcentral is "partial 16S ribosomal RNA". It matches the Rfam family "Bacterial small subunit ribosomal RNA", at positions 524 to 776 of the family's 1533-position model. The record is from RNAcentral.
UACGGAGGGAGCUAGCGUUAUUCGGAAUUACUGGGCGUAAAGCGCACGUAGGCGGCUUUGUAAGUUAGAGGUGAAAUCCUGGAGCUCAACUCCAGAACUGCCUUUGAUACUGGCGACCUUGAGUCCGGGAGAGGUGAGUGGAACUGCGAGUGUAGAGGUGAAAUUCGUAGAUAUUCGCAAGAACACCAGUGGCGAAGGCGGCUCACUGGCCCGGUACUGACGCUGAGGUGCGAAAGCGUGGGGAGCAAACAGG